This is an RNA transcript of Rhopalosiphum maidis (corn leaf aphid), 2205 nucleotides long. It is a transcript of the gene named acetylcholine receptor subunit alpha-like, with no coding region annotated. The transcript has 14 exons. The record is from RefSeq and is a predicted model, not a curated record. Lineage: Eukaryota; Metazoa; Arthropoda; Insecta; Hemiptera; Aphididae.
UCCGCCGCGAAUACACUGUGACUACGCUGCUCCCUCGAACUCGUAUUUAUCUUCGUACUGACCACCCUCAACGACCACCGCCACCGAUUUCGUAAAAAAAUAUUUUCUUUUCUACUCGAAUUUUCGUCGUUUGAUUUUCCAUUAAUUUUACCAUACAUUUUUUUUUUCGUUUGUUUUAAAUUUCUUCAAGCUCGUGUCAUAUAUUGUACUAUAAAAAUAAUAUCAUCCUCACCUAAUAUAAUAAUAUUAUAAUAUAGUGUUUCGACCGAAACCGUACGGCCACGCCGCCGUCAAUAUCCGGAUCGGACCGCAGAUAUGUGGCCGAAAUUUGCAUUUCUUGGACUUGUGAUCAUCCGGUUAAUGGUGUCUGCGAAUCCGGAUGCAAAAAGAUUGUACGAUGAUCUCUUGUCCAGCUACAACAAGCUUGUCAGACCCGUUGUGAAUACUAGCGAUGUUCUCCGUGUAUCUAUAAAGUUGAAACUGUCACAGCUUAUCGAUGUGAACUUGAAAAAUCAGAUAAUGACCACCAAUUUGUGGGUAGAGCAGGCGUGGAAUGAUUACAAAUUACAAUGGGACCCGAAAGAGUACGGCGGCGUGCAAAUGCUCCACGUGCCUUCUGAUCAUAUUUGGCGGCCGGAUAUCGUGCUCUACAACAACGCCGACGGCAAUUUCGACGUGACGCUGGCCACCAAGGCGACCAUAUACCACGUAGGGCUGGUAGAAUGGAAACCGCCGGCCAUAUUCAAAUCGUCGUGCGAGAUCGACGUGGAAUUUUUCCCGUUCGACGAGCAGACGUGCGUGUUGAAAUUCGGUAGCUGGACGUACGACGGAUUCAAGGUAGACUUGAGACACAUGGACGAAAAGGUCGGUUCGAACAUCGUCGACGUCGGAGUGGAUCUCUCAGAAUUUUACAUGUCGGUCGAAUGGGAUAUACUGGAAGUACCAGCGGUCAGGAACGAAAAGAUCUACCCGUGUUGCGACGAACCGUAUUUAGACAUAACGUUUAACAUCACCAUGAGGAGGAAAACGCUUUUCUAUACAGUAAACAUCAUCAUACCGUGCAUGGGAAUCUCGUUCCUCACAGUUUUGACGUUUUACUUGCCAUCGGACAGCGGUGAAAAAGUGACGUUAUCUAUAUCAAUUUUGAUUAGUCUUCACGUUUUUUUCUUGCUGGUUGUCGAAAUUAUUCCUCCAACGUCAUUAGUAGUCCCAUUGCUGGGAAAAUACCUGAUAUUUGCUAUGAUACUGGUUUCAAUAAGCAUUUGUGUUACCGUUGUCGUAUUGAACGUUCAUUUCCGAUCACCUCAGACGCACAAAAUGGCUCCUUGGGUAAAAAGAGUGUUCAUCCAUAUACUGCCAAGACUUUUAGUCAUGCGAAGACCUCAAUACCAGUUCGAACCAAAUAAAUUCAACGCCGGUUCGAUAAUGCUGAAAGGCAGAGACAUACAUCCAUGUUUCUUCCAGGCUGGCUGUGGUUACGACAGCACAGAAGCCGGUAAAGAUAAAGGUCGCCGACAAACAGAUGACAGUAGCGUGUCGAAAGGCACCAGAGAAACGUCCAAAGAAGACUUAUCCAGUGACGGAGAAGGAGGUAGCUGUCAGGUACACGGGGUGGCGCAGAGUCUGAUGUCCGAUGAGAUAUCAGUAACCGAGAUGACAACAGAUUGCAGUAAGAGCUCUAUCCUGCUUAGGAGCCCUGGAUUUCUGCAUUCAUCCUGUCCUCCAGCCAUGCACAAAUCGUGUUUUUGCAUCCGAUUCAUCGCGGAACACACGAAAAUAACGGACGACGCAACCAAAGUGAAAGAAGAUUGGAAGUAUGUCGCGAUGGUCUUGGACAGACUAUUCUUGUGGAUAUUUACACUGGCCGUGUUCGCGGGCACGGCAGGUAUUAUCCUACAAGCGCCCACGUUGUACGAUGACCGAAUACCGAUCGACAAAAAAUUCAGCGAAUACCAAACCACAUAAAGAAAACGAGUUUUUUAUGAAUGAAAAGAAAAAUCCUAUUGGAGGCCGCCUUUGACUCGGAAAGAUAUACAUCGUACAGUUUGACGCAACGUGAAGGCACCUAAAAAACAACGAAAAACAAAAACAAAUUUCCAACGCCGGUGACGACAUUUUUUUUAGUUGCAGUUUCAGUUGCAGCGGUUGUUCAUAACGAUGAUAAUAUAUUAAUAAGUUAGUUAAAAAAAAAAAAAAAAAAAAAAA